UAGUGGUCUGUGUGUGAAAUGUCAGGUCGUAGUGGUGUAUGGUGAAAAUGUCAGGCUGUAGUGGUCAAGGGUGAAAAUGUCAGGCUGUAGUGGUCAAGGGUGAAAAUGUCAGGUUGUAGUGGUCUGUGGUGAAAAUGUCAGGUCGUAGUGGUGUAUGGUGAAAAUGUCAGGCUGUAGUGGUCUGUGGUGAAAAUGUCAGGCUGUAGUGGUCUGUGGUGAAAAUGUCAGGCUGUAGUGGUGUAUGGUGAAAAUGUCAGGCUGUAGUGGUCUGUGGUGAAAAUGUCAGGUCGUAGUGGUGGGAGUGUUUGAACAGACACAAUUCUAGUGACAAACUGUCUGGAGAUUACAGCCCCACCCGUCAAGCGCGAAAACAACCGUGUUCUUGCAAAGUAAAGAAUGAGGGGAAAAAAAUAAAAUGGCCGAGUGUUGGCUCUGGUAGAGAACGAAACAAACAUCAUGUUCAGGCAUGGUCCUAUAGAGAAGUAGUCAUCUUAAUAAACACUGAAGUGUUCACUACAAUAAACAUGAGUCAUUCUCUCUCUCUUCCUCUUUCUUCCAGAUCUUCUGGUUUGUCCUUUAUUUCUCCUCGGGAAGUGAUCACGAGUGCUGGAAUUAACCCUCUUUCACUGUGCUGCUUGGAACGGACUGCCACAC
Long non-coding RNA from Ictalurus punctatus (channel catfish), 654 nucleotides. Lineage: Eukaryota; Metazoa; Chordata; Actinopteri; Siluriformes; Ictaluridae. The record is from Ensembl.